CUUACACAUGCAGUCGAACGAUGAAGCCGCUUCGGUGGUGGAUUAGUGGCGAACGGGUGAGUAACACGUGGGCAAUCUGCCCUGCGCUCUGGGACAAGCCCUGGAAACGGGGUCUAAUACCGGAUAUGAUCAUCGGCCGCAUGGUCUGGUGGUGGAAAGCUCCGGCGGUGCAGGAUGAGCCCGCGGCCUAUCAGCUUGUUGGUGGGGUGAUGGCCUACCAAGGCGACGACGGGUAGCCGGCCUGAGAGGGCGACCGGCCACACUGGGACUGAGACACGGCCCAGACUCCUACGGGAGGCAGCAGUGGGGAAUAUUGCACAAUGGGCGCAAGCCUGAUGCAGCGACGCCGCGUGAGGGAUGACGGCCUUCGGGUUGUAAACCUCUUUCAGCAGGGAAGAAGCCUUCACGGGUGACGGCACCUGCAAAAAAAGCACCGGCUAACUACGUGCCAACACCCGCGGUAAUACGUAGGGUGCGAGCGUUGUCCGGAAUUAUUGGGCGUAAAGAUCUCAGACGCGGCGUGUCACGUCAGAUGUGAAAGCCCGGGGCUUAACCCUGGGUCUGCAUUCUAUACGGGCAGGCUAGAGUUCGGUAGGAGAGAUCGGAAUUCCUGGUGUAGCGGAGAUAUGCGCAUAUAUCGAGAAGAACACCGGUGGCGAGCGCGGAUCUCUGGGGCUAUACUGACUCUGAAGAGCGAAAGCGUGGAGAGCGAACGAGAUUAUAUACCCUGGUACUCCACGCCGUACACGUUGAGAACUAUGUGUGUGUCACAUUCCACGUGCUCCGCGCCGCAUAUAACGCAUUAAGUUCCCCGCCUGGAGAGUACGGGCGCAGGGAUAACACUCAGAAGAAUUGACGGGGCCCCGCACAAGCGGCAGAGCGUGUGUCAUAUUUCGACGCCACGCGAAGAACUUUACCAAGGUUUGACAUACCCCGGAAACAUCCAGAGAUGGGGUGCCCUCUUUGACUCGGUGUACA
This 978-nucleotide ribosomal RNA is filed under the name Streptomyces sp. RNAcentral describes it as "bacterial SSU rRNA". It matches the Rfam family "Bacterial small subunit ribosomal RNA", at positions 48 to 1036 of the family's 1533-position model. The record is from RNAcentral. Lineage: Bacteria; Bacillati; Actinomycetota; Actinomycetes; Kitasatosporales; Streptomycetaceae.